This 53-nucleotide non-coding RNA is filed under the name unclassified sequences. RNAcentral's name for it is "Li+-I sequence". It matches the Rfam family "nhaA-I RNA". From Rfam's summary of the family: Acidobacteria, Alphaproteobacteria, Betaproteobacteria and Gammaproteobacteria, Verrucomicrobia, cand. division NC10. The record is from Rfam by way of RNAcentral.
GGGUCCAGCCCAUUCCGGGGCUGGAGGUAAAGAAUAUGGUCGGGCCGCCAUAU